GACGAACGCUGGCGGCGUGCUUAACACAUGCAAGUCGAACGGAAAGGCCCUGCUUUUGUGGGGUGCUCGAGUGGCGAACGGGUGAGUAACACGUGAGUAACCUGCCCUUGACUUUGGGAUAACUUCAGGAAACUGGGGCUAAUACCGGAUAGGAGCUCCUGCUGCAUGGUGGGCGUUGGAAAGUUUCGGCGGUUGGGGAUGGACUCGCGGCUUAUCAGCUUGUUGGUGGGGUAGUGGCUUACCAAGGCUUUGACGGGUAGCCGGCCUGAGAGGGUGACCGGCCACAUUGGGACUGAGAUACGGCCCAGACUCCUACGGGAGGCAGCAGUGGGGAAGAUUGAACAAUGGGCGGAAGCCUGAUGCAGAAACGCCGCGUGCGGGAUGACGGCCUUCGGGUUGUAAACCGCUUUCGCCUGUGACGAAGCGUGCGUGACGGUAAUGGGUAAAGAAGCACCGGCUAACUACGUG
RNAcentral lists this ribosomal RNA (468 nucleotides) under uncultured bacterium. RNAcentral describes it as "partial 16S ribosomal RNA". It matches the Rfam family "Bacterial small subunit ribosomal RNA", at positions 28 to 507 of the family's 1533-position model. The record is from RNAcentral.